UACGGAGAAAGCUAGCGUUAUUCGGAAUUACUGGGCGUAAAGCGCACGUAGGCGGCUUUGUAAGUAAGAGGUGAAAGCCUGGAGCUCAACUCCAGAACUGCCUUUUAGACUGCAUCGCUUGAAUCCAGGAGAGGUGAAUGGAAUUCCGAGUGUAGAAGUGAAAUUCGUAGAUAUUCGGAAGAACACCAGUGGCGAAGGCGGCUCACUGGACUGGUAUUGACGCUGAGGUGCGAAAGCAUAAAAAGCAAACAAG
RNAcentral lists this ribosomal RNA (253 nucleotides) under uncultured bacterium. RNAcentral describes it as "partial 16S ribosomal RNA". It matches the Rfam family "Bacterial small subunit ribosomal RNA", at positions 524 to 776 of the family's 1533-position model. The record is from RNAcentral.